Long non-coding RNA from Oncorhynchus tshawytscha (Chinook salmon), 2132 nucleotides. The record is from Ensembl. NCBI's taxonomy places the organism in Eukaryota, Metazoa, Chordata, Actinopteri, Salmoniformes, Salmonidae.
CCACAGUCCAAAGGCCAUAGUUUGUUUAGAGAGUGGGAUGGCGGUCUGCCAGAUUAGGUCACAACACACUGGCUACCAGACUACUUACUUGACUUAUCUAACCAUUUAAACCAGGAAGUCCCAUUCAGAUAAACAUCUGGCAUUGAAGGCACUUGUAGUUGAAACCCUAUUCCCUAUGUAAAUGCCCUAUGUUUGCCCCAUGGCCCAGCUUUUAAUCUGUGAAUUCACCUGGUUCCCACUGCCACCUUUAACCUCUCCCCUUUACUCUCCAGGCGUGAGCUGCUGGCAGAGCUGGCGGGGGACGAGUUUGUUGCCGUGGAAAUGGCCUGUCUGGAGGAUGAGUUCCGUGUCCUGUCGGAGGAGAACGCCACGCUGCUCAACGUCCACACUGAGCGAGCUCAGCAACUGGAGACGCUCAGCUCCACCAAUCGGAAUCGGACAGGCCAGGACAGCUCCUCCACGUGACCCCCUUGAACUCGACUUGACCCCGAGCGACGAUGACCUCGCUCGAGACCUUCAAACCGACGCUACGGCCCGUAUUCCAAAAGUGCUGAUCUAGGAUCAGUUCCCCUCUGUUCAUGUAUUCAUAUUUAUUAAGAUCUAAAAAUGCCAAACUGAUCCUAAAUCAGCACUCUUGCUCUGAGCCUCAACUUGGAUAUGGGUCCCUGAAAACAUUACUACCGAUAGCUGUCAAAUCCUUGCUUCCUCUGUCCUUGUUUCCUUAUCUCCUUUCUAAGAGCGUUUUGUUUACUUAUCUCCUUUUAAGAGCAAAGGAGAAGAGGAUACAAGGUCCCUCGUUUGGGACCUUCUCUUCCAAUGCACUUUGAGAGGAACUUACGGACCAGGGUUUGGGGCCAAUUCUAUUUCAAUUCCAAUGAUGGGUUUCUGAUUUCUAAACUUUAAAAAAUAUAUUGUUAAUCAUCAGUUAUACUAGAGACACGAGGAGUGUCACAGUCUGGUUUCUACACCAGAAGUUAAUGGGUAUCUGUAAGAGUAAUGUAUAAGGUUGGAGUCAAGAAAGGUUACAUAGGAGCCAGGGGGCUUUGGGAGGUGCUGAGUAGAGGAGAGGCAAUCGCAUGAUUAUGGCGGAGAGCUGUGGAUUAGUAAAGAAUGUAGAGGUCAGGUCAGGUCACAUUAAGGGAGAAGGAACUGUGCGUUGCCCGCAUGACUUUACUUCCUGUCUAGUAUAAAGAUGUUUAGAGAGAAGCAGGAGACUUUGUCUUAUGCAGCUGCAUUGACCCAAUGGGUGAAUAAACUUGGUUUAAGUUUGACUAAUCGUCCGUGAGUUUUACUAUCUAACUGGAGUCGAUUCAGGAAGUACACUGAAAUCCUAACUCGAAUUCCUCUUCAUUGCGUUUCAAUGAGCGCAAUUUGGAAUUUUCAAUGAGCGGAACUUUCUCAAUUGACCGGAACUCAAAUGGAAUGAAUCCCAACCCUGCUAAGGAAACAAGGACAGAGGAAGCAAGGACUUAGUAGUAGUAGUAGUAGUAGUAAUAAUAGUAGUAGUAGUAGUAGUAGUAGUAGUAGUAGCAGUAGUAGUAGUAGUAGUAGCAGUAGUAGUAAUAAUAGUAGUAGUAGUAGUAGUAGUAGUAGCAGUAGUAGUAGUAGUAGUAGUAGUAGUAGCAGUACAGUAGUAGUAGUAGUAGUAGUAGUAGUAGUAGCAGCAGUAGUAGUAGUAGUAGUAGCAGUAGUAGUAGUAGCAGUAGUAGUAGUUGCAGUAGUAGUAGUAGUAGUAGCAGUAGUAGUAGUAGCAGUAGUAGUAGUAGCAGUAGUAGUUGUAGUAGUAGCAGUAGUAGUAGUAGCAGUAGUAGUAGUAGCAGUAGUAGUACUAGCAGUAGUAGUACUAGCUAGCAGUAGUAGUAGUAGUAGGCUCUGUGAGUCUCUGGACUUGUGGAGACAUACAGGUGGUGUGAUGUGGUCCAAAAUGUUUUCAGGGGGCUUCCCGCUCUCCCCCCCUUUCCUCUCCCCUCCAUGGAUCUAAAGGAUCCCAUCAGUUCCCCAGGUUCAUACUAUACCACCCAGGAUCAACUUUGAGUUGAUGAUUCUGUAUGAGGUAGAAAUGCAAUACACUGUAAGACAUAUGGAUGUUGAGGUGCGAACUCAAUAGAUAUUCUGUAGUGAAAUAAUGGUAG